RNAcentral lists this ribosomal RNA (253 nucleotides) under uncultured bacterium. RNAcentral's name for it is "partial 16S ribosomal RNA". It matches the Rfam family "Bacterial small subunit ribosomal RNA", at positions 524 to 776 of the family's 1533-position model. The record is from RNAcentral.
UACGGAGGGGGCUAGCGUUAUUCGGAAUUACUGGGCGUAAAGCGCACGUAGGCGGCUUUGUAAGUCAGAGGUGAAAGCCUGGAGCUCAACUCCAGAACUGCCUUUGAGACUGCAUCGCUUGAAUCCAGGAGAGGUGAGUGGAAUUCCGAGUGUAGAGGUGAAAUUCGUAGAUAUUCGGAAGAACACCAGUGGCGAAGGCGGCUCACUGGACAGGUAUUGAUGCUGAGGUGCGAAAGCGUGGGGAGCAAACAGG